CCUCCGUUCUUCUGCCGUUUGUACUAUUGCACAAUUGUUGAAACCCUUAUGCAGCGACGCCGCGUGAGUGAAGAAGUAAUUCGUUAUGUAAAGCUCUAUCAGCAGGGAAGAAAAUGACGGUACCUGAGUAAGAAGCCCCGGCUAACUACGUGCCAGCAGCCGCGGUAAUACGUAGGGGGCAAGCGUUAUCCGGAUUUACUGGGUGUAAAGGGAGCGUAGACGGCAGUGCAAGUCUGGAGUGAAAGGCGGGGGCUCAACCCCCGGACUGCUCUGGAAACUGUACGGCUGGAGUGCAGGAGAGGUAAGUGGAAUUCCUAGUGUAGCGGUGAAAUGCGUAGAUAUUAGGAGGAACACCAGUGGCGAAGGCGGCUUACUGGACUGUAACUGACGUUGAGGCUCGAAAGCGUGGGGAGCAAACAGGAUUAGAUACCCUUGUAGUC
RNAcentral lists this ribosomal RNA (440 nucleotides) under uncultured bacterium. Its description in RNAcentral is "partial 16S ribosomal RNA". It matches the Rfam family "Bacterial small subunit ribosomal RNA", at positions 338 to 795 of the family's 1533-position model. The record is from RNAcentral.